AGGAUAAUAGUUAAAAUUAACAUUAAAUUUGCAUUUUAAAAAAAAUUGGUUAUUCCCAAUUUAUCUUA
RNAcentral lists this transfer RNA (68 nucleotides) under Luciola kagiana. Its description in RNAcentral is "tRNA-Ala". Lineage: Eukaryota; Metazoa; Arthropoda; Insecta; Coleoptera; Lampyridae. The record is from RNAcentral.